GCUCAGAUUGAACGCUGGCGGCAGGCCUAACACAUGCAAGUCGAGCGGCAGCGGGAGGAAGCUUGCUUCCUCGCCGGCGAGCGGCGGACGGGUGAGUAAUGUCUGGGGAUCUGCCCGAUGGAGGGGGAUAACCACUGGAAACGGUGGCUAAUACCGCAUAACGUCGCAAGACCAAAGUGGGGGACCUUCGGGCCUCACACCAUCGGAUGAACCCAGAUGGGAUUAGCUAGUAGGUGGGGUAAUGGCUCACCUAGGCGACGAUCCCUAGCUGGUCUGAGAGGAUGACCAGCCACACUGGAACUGAGACACGGUCCAGACUCCUACGGGAGGCAGCAGUGGGGAAUAUUGCACAAUGGGCGCAAGCCUGAUGCAGCCAUGCCGCGUGUGUGAAGAAGGCCUGCGGGUUGUAAAGCACUUUCAGCGAGGAGGAAGGUGGUGAACUUAAUACGUUCAUCAAUUGACGUUACUCGCAGAAGAAGCACCGGCUAACUCCGUGCCAGCAGCCGCGGUAAUACGGAGGGUGCAAGCGUUAAUCGGAAUUACUGGGCGUAAAGCGCACGCAGGCGGUUUGUUAAGUCAGAUGUGAAAUCCCCGAGCUUAACUUGGGAACUGCAUUUGAAACUGGCAAGCUAGAGUCUCGUAGAGGGGGGUAGAAUUCCAGGUGUAGCGGUGAAAUGCGUAGAGAUCUGGAGGAAUACCGGUGGCGAAGGCGGCCCCCUGGACGAAGACUGACGCUCAGGUGCGAAAGCGUGGGGAGCAAACAGGAUUAGAUACCCUGGUAGUCCACGCCGUAAACGAUGUCGAUUUGGAGGUUGUGCCCUUGAGGCGUGGCUUCCGGAGCUAACGCGUUAAAUCGACCGCCUGGGGAGUACGGCCGCAAGGUUAAAACUCAAAUGAAUUGACGGGGGCCCGCACAAGCGGUGGAGCAUGUGGUUUAAUUCGAUGCAACGCGAAGAACCUUACCUACUCUUGACAUCCAGAGAACUUAGCAGAGAUGCUUUGGUGCCUUCGGGAACUCUGAGACAGGUGCUGCAUGGCUGUCGUCAGCUCGUGUUGUGAAAUGUUGGGUUAAGUCCCGCAACGAGCGCAACCCUUAUCCUUUGUUGCCAGCGGUUAGGCCGGGAACUCAAAGGAGACUGCCAGUGAUAAACUGGAGGAAGGUGGGGAUGACGUCAAGUCAUCAUGGCCCUUACGAGUAGGGCUACACACGUGCUACAAUGGCGUAUACAAAGAGAAGCGAACCUGCGAAGGCAAGCGGACCUCAUAAAGUACGUCGUAGUCCGGAUUGGAGUCUGCAACUCGACUCCAUGAAGUCGGAAUCGCUAGUAAUCGUAGAUCAGAAUGCUACGGUGAAUACGUUCCCGGGCCUUGUACACACCGCCCGUCACACCAUGGGAGUGGGUUGCAAAAGAAGUAGGUAGCUUAACCUUCGGGAGGGCGCUUACCACUUUGUGAUUCAUGACUGGGGUGAAGUCGUAACAAGGUAACCGUAGGGGAACCUG
This 1502-nucleotide ribosomal RNA is filed under the name Serratia rubidaea. Its description in RNAcentral is "SSU rRNA". It matches the Rfam family "Bacterial small subunit ribosomal RNA". The record is from RNAcentral. Lineage: Bacteria; Pseudomonadati; Pseudomonadota; Gammaproteobacteria; Enterobacterales; Yersiniaceae.